GCCGGGCACAGUGGCAUACGCUUGUAAUCCCAGCAACUCUGGAGGCUGAGACAGGAGGAUUGCAAGUUCAAAGCCAGCCUCAGCUACUCAGCAGGAUCUUGUCUCUC
This 107-nucleotide small RNA is filed under the name Marmota monax (woodchuck). The record is from RNAcentral. Lineage: Eukaryota; Metazoa; Chordata; Mammalia; Rodentia; Sciuridae.